Molecule: ribosomal RNA, 506 nt
Filed under: uncultured bacterium
Lineage: Bacteria
Description: partial 16S ribosomal RNA
Rfam family: Bacterial small subunit ribosomal RNA
Source: RNAcentral
AGUGAACGCUGGCGGUAGGCCUAACACAUGCAAGUCGAACGGCAGCACAGAGGAGCUUGCUCCUUGGGUGGCGAGUGGCGGACGGGUGAGGAAUACAUCGGAAUCUACUCUGUCGUGGGGGAUAACGUAGGGAAACUUACGCUAAUACCGCAUACGACCUACGGGUGAAAGCAGGGGAUCUUCGGACCUUGCGCGAUUGAAUGAGCCGAUGUCGGAUUAGCUAGUUGGCGGGGUAAAGGCCCACCAAGGCGACGAUCCGUAGCUGGUCUGAGAGGAUGAUCAGCCACACUGGAACUGAGACACGGUCCAGACUCCUACGGGAGGCAGCAGUGGGGAAUAUUGGACAAUGGGCGCAAGCCUGAUCCGGCCAUACCGCGUGGGUGAAGAAGGCCUUCGGGUUGUAAAGCCCUUUUGUUGGGAAAGAAAUCCAUCUGGUUAAUACCCGGGUGGGAAGACGGUACCCAAAGAAUAAGCACCGGCUAACUUCGUGCCAGCCGCCGCGGUAA